GGUAGGAUGCCAAUAUCACUUGUUCUUUUACUAGUGGGCUUGGCCACAUCUUGGAAUCACAUCUUGAAAGCAUUGAGUCGGAUCUCUUUUGAGGCCUUGUUCCCGGCUGUACUGCCAUCCAUCCUUUCCAGCCGUGAGCUGUAAUGUCCUGGGGCUUGUAAGAUUGUCAGGAUAUGGGAGCAUUCUAAACGUGGCAUUGUCUCUCACAGCCAUCUUGAUCAUUGUGACUGACAGUUCUUAGAACAGGUCACUGUUACAGUCUUUUCUUCUGCUCCUUAGAGCCCCCUUCAUCCACCAAUGCCAUACCAUCGGUUGUCUCUUUUGGCAUCGUCUCUGUCCUUGCCAUCGUUCUUCUUGCCGAGAGCUUUUUUUAUCAUCCUCAUGUCACACUGCUUGUAGUAUAAUGUGUUGUUUGAGUUUGUGUCUAGCCUGGAAUUGCUCUGCCCUGUAGAGUAGUCCUGGCGGGGGAGUAGGUGGAGAAGAAAGGAGACUUUACAGGGAGCCUUUUGCUUUGCUCAGCCACCUGAGCCACGCCUCGGAUGGAGUGACUGUGGCCAGUCUGUGUGGUGUUCAGUGGAGACGUGGGAGUGGUGCAGUGGUGUCUUGCAGUUUCAUAGUAGUUUGUCCUAAGGCCCACUACUGUGGGAUCCUAGGCAGUUUGCUUUGAGGAAUGAGAACUUGGGAAAGGCUAAGCUGGGUAACUUUGACAAAUAAUUCUUUUGCAGAGGGAGAGCAUGUAAACCUGAUGUGAACGGAGGAGACCAGAGGAGCACAGCAACGAGGUGGGUCGGUGCCUGAAGUCCAAGCUACGGCCUGACUCUGGGCUCUACGUUUACCUCACUGUUCGGAUUUUCAUUUUGAAGAUGCGAGGCACUUGGCACAGCAGGGUGGUCUGCAGCAUUCAAAUCGCUACUCCAACAUGACAGACACCCUUGCAGAAAGAGGUCACAGUUGAGCACUUUCAGGUGGAACCUACCUUGGCAAUGCAACACUUUUGGACACUACAUCGGCAUGUGCUUUUCCACUUUGUUUUGCCCCUUCUCCCCUGGGAAGGAAGUAAACCUGGAUAUCAGCAGUCAAGGUCAAGUGAGUGAGGUGGCCCACUUGUAUUAUGCCUGCAGGGGCUGAACCCCCUCAUGGACCAGCUGAUGGAGCCAGUUUAUCACCCUUGAGCUGCCCCUGUGAGCCUUCCAGAAGUAUUACAGGGCUCUGCGAUGAAGCCUGUACCUUUUCUGUUUGAAGGGAUACCCUGCGACGGCGGCGUCGGCCUAGGAGUGCGGCCACAGCGUAUGAGCCGAGGACCGGGACGUUCUCAGGAGACGUAGACUAAGAGAGAACAGCCCUCUGAGGGCAGGAACUUCCCAGAUGAUGAGGCGGCCUUCUUUUGCACCUGAUGAGGAUUUGCAUCCCUGGAUAUCUGAGAGCUAAGUUGAGGGCUACACCUCAGGGAGGGGGAUGAGAGUGGGGUGCUGGGUCAGGACUUGGUGGGAGGGAUUUUUGAAUUAGCUUUGGAGAUGGGGAUGUUCACGAGAGGGCCCCUUAGGCCACGUAAAGGGAAAGCCUCGCUUUUGAUCACAAUGCUGAGGUGUGGAGGGCAGAGCAGUCCCGGUGUGUGUUGUCUUGUCCGGUGUGUGUUCUGUGUCUUUGGCUUCCCUUGGAUCAGAUCUCUCUGCCUUUUACCCUUAAGGGGCUUAUCAUAAGCAUUGGCCAUCAUCUCUAGCUUCUUGAACUUUCGUACUUCUCGGUAGGAUGCCAAUAUCACUUGUUCUUUUACUAGUGGGCUUGGCCACAUCUUGGAAUCACAUCUUGAAAGCAUUGAGUCGGAUCUCUUUUGAGGCCUUGUUCCCGGCUGUACUGCCAUCCAUCCUUUCCAGCCGUGAGCUGUAAUGUCCUGGGGCUUGUAAGAUUGUCAGGAUAUGGGAGCAUUCUAAACGUGGCGUUGUCUCUCACAGCCAUCUUGAUCAUUGUGACUGACAGUUCUUAGAACAGGUCACUGUUACAGUCUUUUCUUCUGCUCCUUAGAGCCUCCUUCAUCCACCAAUGCCAUACCAUCGGUUGUCUCUUUUGGCAUCGUCUCUGUCCUUGCCAUCGUUCUUCUUGCCGAGAGCUUUUUUUAUCAUCCUCAUGUCACACUGCUUGUAGUAUAAUGUGUUGUUUGAGUUUGUGUCUAGCCUGGAAUUGCUCUGCCCUGUAGAGUAGUCCUGGCGGGGGAGUAGGUGGAGAAGAAAGGAGACUUUACAGGGAGCCUUUUGCUUUGCUCAGCCACCUGAGCCACGCCUCGGAUGGAGUGACUGUGGCCAGUCUGUGUGGUGUUCAGUGGAGACGUGGGAGUGGUGCAGUGGUGUCUUGCAGUUUCAUAGUAGUUUGUCCUAAGGCCCACUACUGUGGGAUCCUAGGCAGUUUGCUUUGAGGAAUGAGAACUUGGGAAAGGCUAAGCUGGGUAACUUUGACAAAUAAUUCUUUUGCAGAGGGAGAGCAUGUAAACCUGAUGUGAACGGAGGAGACCAGAGGAGCACAGCAACGAGGUGGGUCGGUGCCUGAAGUCCAAGCUACGGCCUGACUCUGGGCUCUACGUUUACCUCACUGUUCGGAUUUUCAUUUUGAAGAUGCGAGGCACUUGGCACAGCAGGGUGGUCUGCAGCAUUCAAAUCGCUACUCCAACAUGACAGACACCCUUGCAGAAAGAGGUCACAGUUGAGCACUUUCAGGUGGAACCUACCUUGGCAAUGCAACACUUUUGGACACUACAUCGGCAUGUGCUUUUCCACUUUGUUUUGCCCCUUCUCCCCUGGGAAGGAAGUAAACCUGGAUAUCAGCAGUCAAGGUCAAGUGAGUGAGGUGGCCCACUUGUAUUAUGCCUGCAGGGGCUGAACCCCCUCAUGGACCAGCUGAUGGAGCCAGUUUAUCACCCUUGAGCUGCCCCUGUGAGCCUUCCAGAAGUAUUACAGGGCUCUGCGAUGAAGCCUGUACCUUUUCUGUUUGAAGGGAUACCCUGCGACGGCGGCGUCGGCCUAGGAGUGCGGCCACAGCGUAUGAGCCGAGGACCGGGACGUUCUCAGGAGACGUAGACUAAGAGAGAACAGCCCUCUGAGGGCAGGAACUUCCCAGAUGAUGAGGCGGCCUUCUUUUGCACCUGAUGAGGAUUUGCAUCCCUGGAUAUCUGAGAGCUAAAUGCAGAUGGAUUGAAUCUGUGGCAGAGUGCCCCAUACCAGGUGAGGGGGUUCCCACAGGAAGGAAGUAAUGCUGAAUAUCAGUGGUCAAGGUCAAUGGAGCGAGGUGGUCCACUGGGAAGGUGUCCCGGCCCUGGGAUGCUGGAGGCCAGGUGCUGCUGCUGCCCUAGGCAUGCCAAGGGACAGAGGCGAGCAGGUAUCGUCCGGGCCACCUCCGGAGUCAGAUGAAGAUUUGAGGUACCACAAGUAGGUGCAGAGCCUAAGUUUGGAAACGGCUGGUAAGCGAUGAGCCUCGGCAGUUAUGAGGGAGAGGGGCAUUGUGCAAGGGGUCACUUCUGGGACGUGUCAUCACAGUCUGAAUUUUGUCAUUAUUCUCUAUCUUUUGUAGCUGCCCAAGUGGGCUGUGGGCCAUGUAUUGACAUCCACGGUGCUGAAGCAUUCUUUUCUGUCGAGGAUGGAUUUUGUCUGCUGGUCUUCGGAGAGCUAAGUGUGGGGACUGUUGGUUGGGAGAAGGCAAAAACCUUUGGAAUCACAGGAGGCAAUUUGAAGUUAGCUUAGAGGAGAGGGCUGUAGUGGGCCGGGCCCCUUGGAGUUACAGGAGAGGGGGUUUCUCUUCAGCAUCACUCGAGCCUUUGCCGGGCCGGGCAGUUCCAACCUAUCUCCAUGUUCUCGUGAGCUUCGCAUCGUUGGAUGUUGAGUCUCGAUGUCAUUGUCCAUCUUCUCACCUGAGGAGCCUGCCUUCAGGUCUGGCAUGAUUGCCACGGUCUAAAUUUUGCCUACUCUUCAGUGUAGCCACGCUUUGGAGCACUUUUGAACAUAGCAUGCGGGCAUCUCGCAUCUUGGCCGUUUGUUGGUCGGUCAUGUUUUGUGACGUCACUUCAGCCUUUGGCGGCAGAAUCAUUCUCUAGGGAUCCCUUUGUAUCACCUGGCAGUCGUUGCCUCCUUCUCUAGGCCUACUGCGCUUCUUGAGCAUCCUCUUACCAGCUUUGGCACUAACUUCUCAUAAGGAGUUUAUAUUUCACUGUCAUGUACUACUGCCAUAGAGCCUUCUUUCCUUUGGCGUCAUCGGCCUCUGACUCAUCUUGCGCUAGGAAUCUUGGGUCCAUCAGGUAAAACUGCUGGGCAGUUUCAGUUUAUGUCUAUGUUAUGUGGUCUGUGUCCGUUGUCUUCAGUGUCAUAGGGCUUUGUGAUGUCUCAAUGCUUUACAGGCAUCGUUAUGGGCCUUAUUGGCAGCAGGAGUGCUUGCAUACUUUCCUGGAUUGGGCUUAUUCUGGCAUCUUUAUGGUUUUGCUUUUUGAGACCAGAAGAAGUACACAAGGUGUUCCUAUCCAUCUUCCUUCUCAGUUUUGCUAGUAUCUUUUUUUCAUGUGCCAUUCCCUUGGACUUCUAUAUGAAGUGUACUAGACCCUCCUCACUGCAGUAGUUUCGUAGCUUCUGUCGCCUCAAAGCAUCCUGGUCUCAAGAAUUUAUCUUCUGAAGCGUUAUCUCAAGUCUUCGUGUCAUCUCUGCUUAUAUUUGAUGCACUGGGUGUCCAUGUGCUGCUUGUGCUUGGAGCUGCCCUGCCCUGGCACAUUCAGUCAUGGCUAGUUUGAACAGUUUUAAACUCUCAUCUCUUGUCUAUGGGCUUUUGGGUAGAAAGCUUAUGGGCCUGGUGUGGGGAUAACUCCUAUCUGUCAGCUACUUGCAGACUGCCUCAUGCUGUCUUGCAGGUCCCCGAGGCAGAUUUUGAUCCCUAUAGUCACUGAUGCUACCAAUUUUCCCAGGAUCUACUGUUCCACAUCAAGGAGCAGCAGAUGGAAGAAGAUGUUAAAGCAUCUUCUUUAGGGGGGAGUGUUUCUAGUAAGGGCUGCAGUCAGUGUGUAAGCUGAGGAAGGGGUGUCUGAGAGUGUGUCUGUCUGUGUGUGUGUUGACUGGCUCUAACCUUAUGCGUGUGUCGUUUUUUGCCUUUCAGGUUCUUCAGUUCAUUUUAAAAUUUAGAAUAUGAAAAACCCAGCUGGUCCUGCCCAUGCUGUGGGGUCAGUCAGAGGGACACAGGGUUCCUCUUCUCCUCUCUGCUGGGAUGAACUGCCUAGGGAAUACCAUUUCUGACA
Long non-coding RNA from Corvus hawaiiensis (hawaiian crow), 5260 nucleotides. RefSeq lists it as uncharacterized. NCBI's taxonomy places the organism in Eukaryota, Metazoa, Chordata, Aves, Passeriformes, Corvidae. The record is from RefSeq and is a predicted model, not a curated record. The transcript has 17 exons.